AUGACGGCCGAGGGGACGGCGCGCGGCGGCGCCGGCGAGGCGCCCAAGGCGGAAUUGGCGGCGGCCAAGGCGGUCUCCCCGACCGGGGAGGAGCGCGAGGGGGUGGGCGGCCCCUUCGUGAUCGUCAACGGCGACUCCGACGGCCACUCGGACCCGGGCUCGGACACGGGCGCCGGGGCCGAGCCGGAUUCCCGCCCGGAGGAGGAGGAUCUGCCCCGGGCCAAUGCAGCCCCGGCUGCUGACGCGGGCGGAGACCACCCCACCGCCGGUGGGGAAUUGGCCGCUCCCGACGGCGCUGUCGGCCUUCCAUCCUCCAACGGGCAUGCUAGCCCCGCUCCGGUGGAGUCUGAGGCUGAUGGCGUGGGCGAAGUAGAAGGUGAGGGAAGCCACAAUUCUGAAGCUGGACCGAGGGACCAGGGCACUGCUGCCGCUGGAGAGCUUGAUGGUCAAGAUGCAGCAACAGAACUUAAGAUUGACCAUGCUGACGCUGGUGAUGAUUCUGCUCCACCUGCCGUGGAAUCCGUGCUUAAUGUCAAGGAUGGAGAAAGUGAAAAAGGUGCUGCCACUGAGGUUGUUGCUCCUGAAGAACAGCAGGAUGAAGAGAAGAAUGCUCCAGCGGAGAGUGGUUCAGAUAACCCCGCCACACAUGCUGAGUCUGGUUCCAUUGUCUUGGAUUCUGAGGGCAGUGGCGAGCAGAGCAAAGGAGAAGAGAUUGCUGCUGAGAUCAUGGAGCCAGGUACAGAUGGAUCAGGUAUCUCGGGGGUGACUGAACAGCAUGAUGCUGACACAAGUGUGACUGCCACUGAUCCUGUGAUUCACGUUGAUGAGGGCAAACAUGAGCAUGCUGCAGUCACAGAGCUGGUGGAGCAGGAUGGGAGCAACGGGCAUGACCAUGUUGAGCAGAUUGCUGAUUCUGGCACAUCUGCUCCUGAGAUAGAAGCUGAUGGGAGCAAAGGGCAGCAAGUAGAAGCACUGACGACUGAGCCUGAAGUAUUGGAUGGAGGCGAUUGUGAAGCGGCUUCUAAGGGACCUUCAGAAGAGGAAGUUGUUGCAAACGGGCUUGGCUGUGCCAAGGACACUGCUGACACUUCUUUGGAGCUUGAGGGAGAGAGCGAAGUUGCCUAUGGUGUGGUUGAAGUGGAGGACGUAGUAGGAAAGGAUGGUGAGGGGGAUUUGCAUGAUGGUCAUAUGGUUGUUGUCCCCUCAUCUGACGAGGAAGCAAAACCUCCCGCAAAGGAGGGUACAAAUGAGGCCAUUCCUGCUGAAGUUGUGAAGGAGGGAAUAAGCGAACAAAUUGUGCAAGAUAAUGAAUCCGUUGAGGAUGAUGUCUCUUCUGUCACACAUCAGUCAGUAAAUUCAGAAGCUCCAGUUGUUGAACCUAAGGGGGAUCACAUACUCCAGGUAGAAGAUGCCGCAGGUGAUGGAAACACUGCAGUUUCUGAUGUGAAGGCUGUCAUGUUGGAAAUGAACACAGCAGAUAGCGUUCAAACACCAGAUAUCAAGUGUGCAUCUGAAGACAGGAGUGUACCAUUGCAUGCGAAUUCGUCUGACCAAGUUGAGGAGGAGGUAAACAAAGAAGUGUCCCCUGAGGACGCACAUUUAGCCCAGAAUGAGCAGUUGGAAUUACCUGGCACUGGUGCAGCUGCAGCUGAUAAAAGUGACAAUGCUGUGGUAGAGGCAGAACCAGGUAAAGAGAUGGAGGUUGUUGAAGACGUUGCGUUGCAUGCGGCUGCAGCAUCUACUUUCCAUAAUGAGCCAAGGUCCAUUGAUUUCAUUGAUAACAAUUACGUAAAACCGGAUACUGAGUUGGAAAGUUGUGAUCAUGUACAAGCAGAGGAGUGUAAUUCUGAUGAAAUAUCUAGCACCGCUGUCGAUGAAGUUAUAUCUGGUGUUUCCAUGGAUCAUGGAACUGCUGUGACAGAUGACGCUGAACUCAGAUAUGAUACAGGAGGUGCAUCUCUUAGCGAAACUGCUGUUGAUCAAGGUGAAGCUGUCGCAUUGACUGAUAAUAAAGCUUCUGUUGUAGAUGAAGUUAAACCCUCUUCUGCCCCAGGAAGUGAAUCUGGUGAUGUUUCGCAAAUAGGCGAAUCACGUGAUUUGGUUACAGAUUGCCAAUCUAAUAAUGACCAGCCGGACAUUCUUGACGCAUCAACUACGCGCGAAGAGCUAGUUUCUCUGACUGAAUAUCCUUGCCUGCCAGUUGUUUCAUUGGAAUCUGGAGUUAAGGCUCCUCAUACGGACAAGGCGACCGCCACGUCAGAUGAGACAUCCAAAGAUACUGAAAAUAUAAAUGCAUGCAAUAUAUCUUCUACUGAGGUUGAAACCAAAUCUUUGGAAGUAGUGGAACCUUCAUCUGUUGACGGGGUAGUUCCAGUGGAACAUGAGAAUGAUGAUGAACAUGCACACAAAGGCAAGGAGAAGAUUGCUGAGGACUCCAGUGAGUCGCCUGUUGAACAGCCUGUUGAUCUUGAGAGUGACAAGGGAAAUAUACAGCUCAUGAGGCCACACAAGUUCUUCAUCGUAAAGGUUCCUAAACUUGCGGGCGAUGAUGUCUGGGCAAAGGUACAAGAUGCUCAAGUUCAUCUGGAUCGCCUGACUCAGGAAAGAGAUGCAAUUAAUGCUCGCAAGAAAAAGCAAAAGGCUGCCUUUGACGAGUAUCGGGAAAAGUUAGAGGCAGCACGGAAAGAAGAGGGUGAAGCGAGAGCUGCACAUGCUGGCAAGAGGAAUGUUCUUGAUGGUGUACGGUCAACUAUUGGGAAGUUGAAUCAAGCAACUUCAGUUGAAGAAAUUGAUGAGUUGAUCGUGAGGAAACAGAGGACUAUGGAACAUGAAACAAUUUCUUUGAAAGAAGAGAAGCUAUUCAUUAAAGAGAUUAAUGAUCUGAAAGCCCAAAGGAAGCAAGCGUGCUCCAAUAUGGGCUCAGAGGCUGAAAUGAGUGAAGCAUUCCAUCAAAAGGAUCACAUUCAUGAGCAACAUAAGACUUUGAAGAAGGAAGCAGAUUUACUUUUCAAAAAUCUGAAGUCCCUUGAGGAGAACAGAAAAAAGAUUCAAAAAUCUUUCGAGGAUGAAAGAGCUGCUCUCAGAAAGUUAAAUGAUGACUUGUAUGCUGCCAAUGAACUACGUCAACAGGCCUACGAGAAUUGGGUUGAGCUGAGAGGGGAACCGGGCAAGAAGAACAAGUACUUCUUCAUGUACAAGAAGGACCGCGAUGCUGCGGGCAAGCUCUUAUCAAGUGGUGACAUUGAUGGACUUCAGUCAUAUUGUAAUAAUCAGGUUGAGGGUUUUAUGGAGAUGUGGAACAAAGAUGAUGACUUCCGCAGGCUGUACGUUGAAGCAAACCAGAUUAGCACUCUGAGGAGAUUAGGUACCCAUGAUGGAAGAUCACUUGGUCCUGAUGAGGAGCCUCCCGUCAUUCCCAGUAACAAUUACAGUAGAAGACCCAACAAUCCAUCUCAACUCACUGUUUCAAGCCCAAACGUUCCCAUUACAACUAAAGAAGCAGCACCUGAAAAGUCUACUGCAGUUGUUGUCCCUGUAGAAGAGGAUUCCUUUCCUGUUUUACCACCAACCCAGACCCAUAAGCAGGCCAAACCAAAGGCAGCUGGUAGUGGUUCAUCCCAGAAAGAAAUAACCCCAGCUCCAGCUCCAGCUCCAGAGGUGGUAGAUGUCAAACAGAUUGAAAAGGAAAAGGCUCGUCUGGCGGAGGAGUUGGAGUUAGCAAGGAAGGCGGAGGAGUUGGCACGCAAGGAGGAGGAACUAAGAGCGCAGAGGGCUGCAGCUGAAAAGGAACGACUCCGCUUGGAGCAAAUAGCGAAAGCUAAGGAAGCUGAGGAAAGAAAGAAAAAGAAGGCAGAGAAGGCUCAGGAAAGGGCGGAGUUCAAAGCGCGCAAGGAAGCUGAGAUGAAGGAAAAGAAGAAAGCAAAGAAGUCUAAAAAGGUUGGCACUACACCAGCAGACUUAGCAAGUGGCCAGACCAACUCUGCAGCUAUACCUGCAGCAGACACUGAGAGCAACACACCCGAAAAUGGCAAGGAUCCUGAGGUUCCUCAACCACAACCCAUAAUCAUAAAGAGGAUCCCUAAACCAAUUGUGAGGCAGCUGCAGCCCAUGCCUGCUCCCCUGCGUAACAAGUUCAAAAGGAGAACGCGGCAGUACAUCUUCAUCGGAGUCGCAGUUGCCCUAGCUGUCGUCGCGUUGAUCCUGGCCGGCAGAACCUUAGACCUCCCUGGUCUAAGUUCUAUUCGCUUCUGA
Molecule: ribosomal RNA, 4251 nt
Filed under: Triticum aestivum (bread wheat)
Lineage: Eukaryota; Viridiplantae; Streptophyta; Magnoliopsida; Poales; Poaceae
Description: partial small subunit ribosomal RNA
Source: RNAcentral